GGGGAAUCCGACUGUUUAAUAAAAACAUAGCUUUGUGAUGGCCUGAAAAGGUGUUGACACAAAGUGAUUUUCUGCCCCAGUGCUUUGAACGUGAAUAUGAAGUAAUUUGUAGAAGCUCAGGUAAACGGCGGGAGUAACUAUGACUCUCUUAAGGUAGCCAAAUGCCUCGUCAUCUAAUUAGUGACGCGCAUGAAUGGAUCAAUGAGAUUCCCACUGUCCCCUAUUUUACUAUUUUAGCGAACCCCACAGUCAAGGGAACGGGCUUGAAAUAAUCAGCGGGGAAAGAAGACCCUGUUGAGCUUGACUCUAGUCCGACUUUGUGAAAUGACUAACGAAGUUUAGCCUUAGGUGGGAGCCAACGCGCCAAUGAAAAACCACUAUUUGUUACGUCAUUUUACUUACUCCGUAAAGAGUGAUCGGUUUACCGAUUCUAGACUAAGGUAGUUUACUGCCUGAGCUUUUGCGGAAGACACGGUCAGGUGGGGAGUUUGGCUGGGGCGG
This 501-nucleotide ribosomal RNA is filed under the name uncultured eukaryote. RNAcentral's name for it is "eukaryotic LSU rRNA". It matches the Rfam family "Eukaryotic large subunit ribosomal RNA", at positions 2127 to 2633 of the family's 3401-position model. The record is from RNAcentral.